UUUAAAAAUGGGCAAACUUACCUAAAGGCAAGGACGCAAAGCCAUGGGUCUAAGGGAUGUUUUCUAUGACUGCCAGGUUGCUUAU
RNAcentral lists this non-coding RNA (85 nucleotides) under Peptoclostridium litorale. RNAcentral describes it as "Clostridium litorale c-di-GMP sequence". It matches the Rfam family "c-di-GMP-I riboswitch aptamer". From Rfam's summary of the family: GEMM was predicted in a large-scale screen for bacterial structured RNA regulatory elements. Genes associated with GEMM are involved in a diverse array of functions, including chemotaxis regulation, signal transduction, secretion and chitin. Lineage: Bacteria; Bacillati; Bacillota; Clostridia; Peptostreptococcales; Peptoclostridiaceae. The record is from RNAcentral. RNAcentral also lists the same sequence under 1 other name.